Molecule: ribosomal RNA, 135 nt
Filed under: uncultured eukaryote
Lineage: Eukaryota
Description: partial 18S ribosomal RNA
Rfam family: Eukaryotic small subunit ribosomal RNA
Source: RNAcentral
UGGUGGAUUGAUUUGUCUGGUUUAUUCCGAUAACGAACGAGACUCCAACCUACUAAAUAGUGGUCGGAUUUAUUGGUUUGAAUCACUUCUUAGAGGGACAAGCAGUGUUUAGCUGCAUGAGUAGGAGCAAUAACA